RNAcentral lists this ribosomal RNA (403 nucleotides) under uncultured bacterium. RNAcentral describes it as "partial 16S ribosomal RNA". It matches the Rfam family "Bacterial small subunit ribosomal RNA", at positions 30 to 526 of the family's 1533-position model. The record is from RNAcentral.
AUUGAACGCUGGCGGCAGGCCUAACACAUGCAAGUCGAGCGAGCGGCGGACGGGUGAGUAAUGUAUGGGGACUGCCCGAUAGAGGGGGAUAACUACUGGAAACGGUGGCUAAUACCGCAUACUAUCGGAUAACCCAUAUGGGAUUAGCUAGUAGGUGGGGUAAAGGCUCACCUAGGCGACGAUCUCUAGCUGGUCUGAGAGGAUGAUCAGCCACACGGGAACUGAGACCCGGCCCGACCUCCUACGGAGGCAGCAGUGGGGAAUAUUGAACAAUGGGCGCAAGCCGGAUACAGCCAUGCGGGGUGAAUGAGGAGGGCCUUAGGGUUUUAAGUUACUUUCGCCGGGGAGGGUUUACCCGCAGAGGAAGCACCGGCUAACUCCGUGCCAGCAGCCGCGUUAAUUC